CGAGUGAGGGUCCUCGUGGCCCAACCUCCCACCCGUGACUAUUGUACCUUUGUUGCUUCGGCGGGCCCGCCAGCCCCGUGCUGGCCGCCGGGGGGCCUUGUGCCCCCGGGUCCGCGCCCGCCGGAGACCCCAACAUGAACACUGUUUUGAAAGCCUGUAUGAAUCCGAUUUUUUGUAAUCAGUUAAAACUUUCAACAAUGGAUUUCUUGGUUCCGGCAUCGAUGAAGAACGCAGCGAAAUGCGAUAACUAAUGUGAAUUGCAGAAUUCAGUGAAUCAUCGAGUCUUUGAACGCACAUUGCGCCCCCUGGUAUUCCGGGGGGCAUGCCUGUCCGAGCGUCAUUGCUGCCCUCAAGCCCGGCUUGUGUGUUGGGUCCUCGUCCUCCCCUCGCGGGGGGACGGGCCCGAAAGGCAGCGGCGGCACCGCGUCCGGUCCUCGAGCGUAUGGGGCUUUGUCACCCGCUCUGUAGGCCCGGCCGGCGCCAGCCGACGCAAAUCACCUUUUUUUUCAGGUUGACCUCGGAUCAGGUAGGGAUACCCGCUGAACUUAAG
This 550-nucleotide unclassified non-coding RNA is filed under the name Aspergillus spelaeus. RNAcentral describes it as "sequence contains ITS1, 5.8S rRNA gene and ITS2". The stretch from base 187 to 340 matches the Rfam family "5.8S ribosomal RNA". The record is from RNAcentral. Lineage: Eukaryota; Fungi; Ascomycota; Eurotiomycetes; Eurotiales; Aspergillaceae.